RNAcentral lists this ribosomal RNA (253 nucleotides) under uncultured bacterium. RNAcentral describes it as "partial 16S ribosomal RNA". It matches the Rfam family "Bacterial small subunit ribosomal RNA", at positions 524 to 776 of the family's 1533-position model. The record is from RNAcentral.
UACGGAGGGAGCUAGCGUUGUUCGGAAUUACUGGGCGUAAAGCGUGCGUAGGCGGUUAUUCAAGUCAGAGGUGAAAGCCUGGAGCUCAACUCCAGAACUGCCUUUGAAACUAGAUAACUAGAAUCUUGGAGAGGUGAGUGGAAUUCCGAGUGUAGAGGUGAAAUUCGUAGAUAUUCGGAAGAACACCAGUGGCGAAGGCGACUCACUGGACAAGUAUUGACGCUGAGGUACGAAAGCGUGGGGAGCAAACAGG